GACGAACGCUGGCGGCGUGCCUAAUACAUGCAAGUGGGACGCAAGGAAACACACUGUGCUUGCACACCGUGUUUUCUUGAGUCGCGAACGGGUGAGUAACGCGUAGGUAACCUGCCUAUUAGCGGGGGAUAACUAUUGGAAACGAUAGCUAAUACCGCAUAAUAUUAAUUAUUGCAUGAUAAUUGAUUGAAAGAUGCAAGCGCAUCACUAGUAGAUGGACCUGCGUUGUAUUAGCUAGUUGGUAAGGUAAGAGCUUACCAAGGCGACGAUACAUAGCCGACCUGAGAGGGUGAUCGGCCACACUGGGACUGAGACACGGCCCAGACCCCUACGGGAGGCAGCAGUAGGGAAUCUUCGGCAAUGGACGAAAGUCUGACCGAGCAACGCCGCGUGAGUGAAGAAGGUUUUCGGAUCGUAAAGCUCUGUUGUAAGUCAAGAACGUGUGUGAGAGUGGC
Molecule: ribosomal RNA, 455 nt
Filed under: Streptococcus mutans
Lineage: Bacteria; Bacillati; Bacillota; Bacilli; Lactobacillales; Streptococcaceae
Description: bacterial SSU rRNA
Rfam family: Bacterial small subunit ribosomal RNA
Source: RNAcentral